RNAcentral lists this ribosomal RNA (424 nucleotides) under uncultured bacterium. RNAcentral describes it as "bacterial SSU rRNA". It matches the Rfam family "Bacterial small subunit ribosomal RNA", at positions 506 to 927 of the family's 1533-position model. The record is from RNAcentral.
GGCCAGCAGCCGCGGUAAUACGUAGGGUGCGAGCGUUGUCCGGAAUUAUUGGGCGUAAAGAGCUCGUAGGCGGCUUGUCACGUCGGAUGUGAAAGCCCGGGGCUUAACCCCGGGUCUGCAUUCGAUACGGGCAGGCUAGAGUGUGGUAGGGGAGAUCGGAAUUCCUGGUGUAGCGGUGAAAUGCGCAGAUAUCAGGAGGAACACCGGUGGCGAAGGCGGAUCUCUGGGCCAUUACUGACGCUGAGGAGCGAAAGCGUGGGGAGCGAACAGGAUUAGAUACCCUGGUAGUCCACGCCGUAAACGUUGGGAACUAGGUGUUGGCGACAUUCCACGUCGUCGGUGCCGCAGCUAACGCAUUAAGUUCCCCGCCUGGGGAGUACGGCCGCAAGGCUAAAACUCAAAGGAAUUGACGGGGGCCCGCACA